CACGACGAGACAGUGGCACGCGACAACAUCGCACAUGAGACUCCGGCGGAGCUGCGAUGGCGUGUGGCGGCGUUAGACAGGGGCAUUCCUCACCUUCCACUGCCGCUCACGACUAGGUUGUGGCCGCUCAUUCCAUCUCAUCUCACUCAUCAACCCAGCGCUGUUGAUUCAAUUUUCGUAGACUUAUUGGUCGCAUAUAAUUGUCUCUGGAUGUAAAGUACAUGGUUUUCCCCAUGUUGUUUCUAAAUUCUUGUUUUACCCUGUUUCCUUGUGUGAUGUUGUGGUCUCUUUUUUGCCGUUAGUCUGGUGCUCUGCUGUUGUAAUAAGUAGGUCAGGAACUCCUUAGUGUUCUAUAGAACUGUCUGCAAUCGAUUUGUCCCCUUGAUCA
Lolium rigidum is the source of this 388-nucleotide long non-coding RNA. RefSeq lists it as uncharacterized. The record is from RefSeq and is a predicted model, not a curated record. NCBI's taxonomy places the organism in Eukaryota, Viridiplantae, Streptophyta, Magnoliopsida, Poales, Poaceae. The transcript has 2 exons.